Molecule: ribosomal RNA, 436 nt
Filed under: Corynebacterium sp. oral taxon A16
Lineage: Bacteria; Bacillati; Actinomycetota; Actinomycetes; Mycobacteriales; Corynebacteriaceae
Description: bacterial SSU rRNA
Rfam family: Bacterial small subunit ribosomal RNA
Source: RNAcentral
GACGAACGCUGGCGGCGUGCUUAACACAUGCAAGUCGAACGGAAAGGCCUGCCACCUUGGUGGUGGGUACUCGAGUGGCGAACGGGUGAGUAACACGUGGGUGAUCUGCCCCGCACUGUGGGAUAAGCCUGGGAAACUGGGUCUAAUACCACAUACGACCACACUGUAGACAGUGUGGUGGAAAGCUUUUGCGGUGUGGGAUGAGCCCGCGGCCUAUCAGCUUGUUGGUGGGGUAAUGGCCUACCAAGGCGGCGACGGGUAGCCGGCCUGAGAGGGUGGACGGCUACAUUGGGACUGAGACACGGCCCAGACUCCUACGGGAGGCAGCAGUGGGGAAUAUUGCACAAUGGGCGCAAGCCUGAUGCAGCGACGCCGCGUGGGGGAUGGAAGGCCUUCGGGUUGUAAACUCCUUUCGCCCGGGACGAAGCCCACCUGG